GAUGAACGCUGGCGGCGUGCCUAAUACAUGCAAGUCGAGCGAACAGACGAGGAGCUUGCUCCUCUGACGUUAGCGGCGGACGGGUGAGUAACACGUGGAUAACCUACCUAUAAGACUGGGAUAACUUCGGGAAACCGGAUCUAAUACCGGAUAAUAUAUUGAACCGCAUGGUUCAAUAGUUAAAGACGGUUUUUCUUUCACUUAUAGAUUGAUCCGCGCCGCAUUAGUUAGUUGGUAAGGUAACGGCUUACCAAGGCAACGAUGCGUACCCGACCUGAGAGGGUGAUCGGCCAGACUGGAACUGAGACACGGUCCAGACUCCUACGGGAGGCAGCAGUAGGGAAUCUUCCGCAAAGGGCGAGAGCCGGACGGAGCAACGCCGCGUGAGUGAUGAAGGUCUUCGGAUCGUAAAACUCUGUUAUUAGGGAAGAACAAAUGUGUAAGUAACUAUGCACGUCUUGACGGUACCUGAUCAGAAAGCCACGGCUAACUACGUG
RNAcentral lists this ribosomal RNA (497 nucleotides) under uncultured bacterium. Its description in RNAcentral is "partial 16S ribosomal RNA". It matches the Rfam family "Bacterial small subunit ribosomal RNA", at positions 28 to 507 of the family's 1533-position model. The record is from RNAcentral.